This 381-nucleotide long non-coding RNA is filed under the name Mus pahari (shrew mouse). RNAcentral describes it as "lncRNA (MGP_PahariEiJ_G0002949.1)". Lineage: Eukaryota; Metazoa; Chordata; Mammalia; Rodentia; Muridae. The record is from RNAcentral.
UUCCGGCGGCUCCGCGGUACUUCGCCGGGCUGACCUCCGGGGCGGUCCGCGAACACUUCAGCCAUUAGCAGUGCUCUGUGCCACACAGCAUAAGCAGUGAAUGUGCAAAAUCCCCUGCGCACGAAACCGUCCUUCAGCCCUCUCCCUCAGGGUCCUGCCUGGGAGAUCUAGGCCAGCACCAACCACAUCCCGGCUCCUUCCGCGGAGAGGAUGUCCCUGCGGGCGGGGACAGCAGAAGGCAAGCCCUGCCCCUGGAGCCACAGCCAAGGCGUAACUGUCCAGGUCCUCCAGCCUAACGACUAGAAACAGAGACGGGGAGGGAACCUCCCUGACCACUCCGAAGUCUUGCUUGAGCUGCAGCGCCCCCUGCAGGCUAGAUGU